Molecule: RNA transcript, 7663 nt
Organism: Dermochelys coriacea (leatherback sea turtle)
Lineage: Eukaryota; Metazoa; Chordata; Testudines; Dermochelyidae
Gene: PSMD1
Gene name: proteasome 26S subunit, non-ATPase 1
Exons: 21
Source: RefSeq, a predicted model, not a curated record
ACGACACAUCCGGGCCGGAAGGAGGCGACGGCGGCAGUGCUGGUCACGGCACGGACCCGAGCACCGGCAGCGGCGGCCCCCGAGCCCCCAACCCCCUACCGCGGAGCAGCGAGCAGCCCGGGCCGGGCCAGGCCAAGCGGCAGCAUGAUCACCUCGGCCGCUGGAAUUAUUUCUCUUCUGGAUGAAGAAGAGCCACAGCUCAAGGAGUUCGCUCUUCACAAACUGAAUGCUGUUGUCAAUGACUUUUGGGCAGAAAUCUCUGAGUCAGUGGAUAAAAUUGAAGUUCUCUAUGAAGAUGAGGGUUUCCGGAGUCGCCAGUUUGCUGCCUUGGUAGCUUCCAAAGUGUUUUAUCACCUGGGAGCCUUUGAGGAGUCUCUGAACUAUGCCUUGGGAGCAGGCGAUCUCUUCAAUGUGAAUGACAAUUCAGAAUAUGUGGAGACUAUCAUUGCAAAAUGUAUUGACCACUACACCAAGCAGUGUGUGGAGAAUGCAGAACUGGCCGAAGUGGAGAAGAAACCUGUCGACGAAAGGCUGGAAGGGAUUGUUAACAAGAUGUUCCAGCGGUGUUUGGAUGAUCACAAGUACAAGCAGGCCAUUGGGAUUGCACUGGAGACCCGCAGGCUGGAUGUCUUUGAGAAAACCAUACUGGAAUCGAAUGAUGUUCCUGGAAUGCUAGCAUACAGCUUAAAGCUCUGCAUGUCUCUGAUGCAGAAUAAGCAGUUCCGUAAUAAAGUGCUGAGAGUUCUGGUUAAAAUCUACAUGAACCUGGAGAAACCAGACUUCAUCAACGUGUGCCAGUGCCUGAUUUUCCUGGAUGACCCCCAGGCUGUAAGUGACAUCUUGGAAAAGCUGGUGAAGGAAGACAACCUUCUCAUGGCUUAUCAGAUCUGCUUUGAUCUGUAUGAAAGUGCCAGCCAGCAGUUCUUGUCUUCUGUGAUCCAGAAUCUUCACACUGUUGGAACCCCUAUUGCCUCUGUGCCUGGAUCAACCAACACUGGGACUGUCCCUGGAUCUGAGAAAGACAGUGACACUAUGGAAACAGAAGAGAAGCCAAGUAGCACUUGUGCUGCGAAGUCUGCAGAAUCUAACCCAGAGCCUAAGGACCAGAUUUCAAAAAUGAUUAAAAUUUUAAGUGGUGAAAUGGCUAUUGAGUUACACCUGCAGUUUUUAAUACGAAACAACAAUACAGACCUGAUGAUUCUCAAAAACACAAAGGAUGCAGUGCGGAACUCUGUAUGCCACACAGCAACGGUUAUAGCAAACUCUUUUAUGCACUGUGGGACAACCAGUGACCAGUUCCUUAGAGAUAAUUUGGAAUGGCUGGCCAGAGCCACUAAUUGGGCUAAGUUUACUGCUACUGCCAGCCUGGGUGUCAUACAUAAGGGUCAUGAGAAGGAAGCUCUACAAUUAAUGGCAACAUACUUACCCAAAGACACCUCUCCGGGCUCGGCCUAUCAGGAGGGCGGAGGUCUCUAUGCAUUGGGUCUGAUUCAUGCUAAUCACGGUGGUGACAUCAUUGACUAUCUGCUGAACCAGUUGAAGAAUGCCAGCAAUGAUAUUGUCCGACAUGGUGGUAGCCUGGGUCUGGGUCUGGCUGCUAUGGGGACUGCACGCCAGGAUGUGUAUGAUUUGCUGAAAACAAACCUCUACCAGGACGAUGCAGUGACAGGUGAAGCAGCUGGUCUGGCAUUGGGUCUGGUAAUGCUGGGAUCUAAAAAUGCUCAGGCUAUUGAGGACAUGGUUGGCUACGCACAGGAAACGCAGCAUGAAAAGAUCUUGCGGGGUCUGGCUGUUGGUAUUGCUCUGGUGAUGUAUGGGAGGAUGGAGGAAGCAGAUGCCCUCAUAGAGAGUCUCUGCAGAGAUAAGGAUCCAAUCCUCCGUCGUUCAGGAAUGUAUACUGUAGCUAUGGCUUACUGCGGCUCAGGGAACAACAAGGCAAUCAGACGUCUGCUGCAUGUUGCUGUGAGUGAUGUCAAUGAUGAUGUGAGGCGGGCAGCGGUUGAGUCACUUGGAUUCAUUCUGUUCAGGACUCCUGAACAGUGUCCCAGUGUAGUUUCUUUGCUGUCAGAAAGCUACAACCCACAUGUGCGUUACGGGGCUGCCAUGGCUCUGGGUAUCUGCUGUGCUGGCACAGGAAAUAAGGAAGCAAUUAAUUUGCUUGAGCCAAUGACAAAUGAUCCUGUGAACUAUGUGCGUCAAGGAGCUCUGAUUGCAUCUGCCCUUAUCAUGAUUCAGCAGACUGAGAUCACCUGUCCAAAGGUCAGCCAGUUCAGACAGCUCUAUUCCAAAGUCAUUAAUGAUAAGCAUGACGAUGUUAUGGCCAAGUUUGGAGCAAUCCUGGCCCAGGGCAUCUUGGAUGCAGGUGGCCAUAAUGUAACUAUCUCGCUGCAGUCAAGGACAGGACAUACUCACAUGCCUUCAGUGGUGGGGGUACUGGUCUUCACUCAGUUCUGGUUCUGGUUCCCCCUCUCACACUUCUUGUCAUUGGCUUACACCCCAACCUGUGUGAUUGGCCUUAACAAGGACCUUAAGGUAUGUGCUUCCAUGGUUGAUACAGUAGUCUGAUGAGAGAUUAAAUAGCUGGAUGACAACUGCUUGCAGUUCCAUGAUGAUUUCCAUCAUAACCACCAAUCAUUAGUUUUCUGCAAGUUUGUUCAUGAAGGGAAUCUUACUACAAACAGAACAAGAAUCAUGUGUUCUGCAUGGUGCUGAAGAGUAUCAAUAGCUGAAUGUUUAUAAUGAGUUGCUGGCACAAAGAGAGCAACGCCUUUCCUAACCAUGUUCUUUUCAUCACCAAGGGAAUGCAGUCUGUAAGAUUUAAUUUCCUGGGGUCCUUAUGUUGCACCAGUACCAUUGUGUCUGGCCUCUGCAUUAGCUUUCUGGUUUACCCCCUUUUCAUUCUGAAUGCUAUCAGCUCAUCUGCAGAGAAUCUGUGGAGGUCAGCCUGGCAGAGCUUUGGGCACCAUCCAAAUUUGGGAACUCUUUUUAAACUCUGUUCCCGUUGAACCAGCUUCUAACAGUUUGCCUGGCCAUCAUGUCCUAGCUGCUUAUUAUAUAACCUUGCCUUCUUUGGAGGAGAUAGAGAAAUCAUGGCUGUUACAGUGUGGGGGGGGGGGAUAUGAAUACAGCCCCUAUCGUAAAUCUCUGAAGGAGUCCAGUUGUUUGAGGAAAGAGUUCCAAAGAUGCAUUGACUGCACUGUGCCCAUUGAAACACUAUACUGUGCCUUGGUAAUGGUGCAUUAAGACACCUUCAUAGGCUGUAAUAUAGGAUAGGAUAGGAGAUGGUUUUAGAACAUAUUUUGACCUUAUCCACCGUAGCUAGCUAAGGUGUGCUAGAAACUGUAGCUGGAAGAUUGUGAAAAGCUAAUUAAUCGUAGUGCCUCAAUUUUGUUUGAGCCUUAGCAUAGAUAGGGCUGAUAUUACCGUGGGUGACUGGUGGGAUUUGAAUCAUUCAGUCCCUGUGGGUAGAGAUCUGAGUAUUAAAGAUUGUAUUAUAUAAGCCCUUCAAAAGGUUACACUUUAAAGCUUCCCAUUACAGAAAGCCUAGUGCCUCCUGGCUAAGGAUGUGAUACUUCACUCUCUGAGUUUGAAAAAUAUGCCUAAAACGUGGAAUGAGAGGAGCCAGUAUUUCACUCUGAAAGUCACUGGUAAAUCGGCAGUUUGAGUUUGAGUCAGAAUCUAGAGUGACGGAAGCCUGAAUGUUUUGCAGUUUGUGCUGCAGUCUCCCUCUUUGUGCUGGAAAAGCUCGAUCGUGUACAGCAAUCUUUCCCAGGCUUAUUUAUGUGCAUUGGCGCAUUGUAUGCGUUAUCUGGUUUUCUUUCCUGCACCGUGUACAUUUCACUGCAGGAGAUGAAACCUUGCAAUUUCAGAGUCUCUCAUCAAAUGGCACUCACUUCAUUAAAAUAUUGGUAGAUUCUAAACCCACCAAACUGUCAAACUAUGCCCAUGAGGAUUCGGGAGUGAGGCUAGAAAUAGGAGACACAGUCUGGAUUCCUAGGUAUAAAAGUAGGGAAAGGACCAAUUGGUCAGCUAAUUCCUCUCCCUACAUUGUAGCACUUCGAGGGCUAUCUUCCCCUCAGCAUGCCAAGUAUUUAUUUGAUCCUUCCGUUAACAUUGAAGGGAUUGGGGAACAUGCUUGUUACACUGCUGAUAUAGUAACAGUGCCCAAGUCCUGUAGUUCUUGUUUGUUGUUACAGCGAAAAUUGUGUUAAGACCUUGAUUUAAAUUCAGCUAGAAUUGUCUGGAGCCCAGCUCUGGUAAUAUUUUCAUGGCUCUGGGGGGCCAUGAGCCAGUUCCAGGAUGUCUGUGGGGCUGCACAGGGCUGGAGUCACGGCACCGCUCCUGUGUGGGAGAGAAGCCCCUAGCCCCACCAUAGGGCAGAAGCCCCAAGCGCCACUCCUUCCCCACCCUGGUCUGGUAGGCGGAAAAUGGAGAGGGCAUGGGGGGCUUCAGAAAAUACUUCAAGAGAAUUUAAGCCCUGGCUAAGACCCCACAUUUAUGAAGGACCAGCUCCAGGUAUCACCAAGUAUUUUCCGCUGUUAAUUAACUACAUCUCCAACUCAACUAGAUAUCACCCUAUCAUUCUUCCCCGAUCAUACCCAGAGACUCAUGAGGGGCUCCUGGUCUUCAGCCUCCAGAACCCUCACUAGGGAGUCCCACAUGGAUCCACUUUCUCCCCCAUCCUGUUCCACACUUACGUAAAAUCACCAGAGGAGAUUGUGGAACAGCAUAGACUGGAACGCCAGCAAUGCCCAGACUGAACCCAGUUCCGUCCACUUCACUCACCCAUACAGUGCGUAUCCCAGCUGUGCUGGGACCUGGCUGAGAUCAGCAACUUCCUCUGGGAACAGCUGAGGUGACUUUGGCGGGGAGAGAGAGAAGCACUUUGAAGAAUUCACUGCCUCCAUGGCAUCCUUCUCCAUCAAGGGCCUCCGAGCGUCAGAGCAGCCAUCGGCCAUGGUGAGCUCUGGACUUCUCACCACAUCUGGAUUCCAAAUAGCUACAGUCAUGGGAAGUUCCCUUUCUGUCUACUCUGCCCCCUCCUGUGUGGAUCAGACUUAGCCUCAGUGACCCCUGUAUCCAUCCCCCUGGGUUGGCUAAUGUAACUCCCUCCGCCAAAGAAUGAAACCAGCAGUUGGUUUUUGUUUUUUUGUUUUUGUUUUUUUUAAGGUUCCAAAUAAAGCAGUACAGGGCUCUGAGAAGCUGUCACCGCCCUGCUCUGCUAUCUGCACUGGCUCCCUGUGUAAUAUGGGUUAAAUUCAGGAUUACAGUUCUUACCUUCAAAGCAGUCAGCAGGACUGGUCCAAGUUACAGGGCUACAGCUGUUUGCCAUCACCCGGCAUAACGUCGGAGCAGAGCUGUCAGUGCCAAGGGACUGCGACUCCAGAAUGCUCUCCCGUUCCGUGUAUGUUAGUGUUAAAUGAUGGCACCCUUCUGUGUGCAGCUAACAAGUGACGUCUCAGUUAGUCUGAAAGGAGCUUGGUUCAAAAGGCCAUUUCUGUGUAAGCUCCCCAUUACCGUUGUGACUGGUUGGAUCACAGAAAACUCCUUGGGAACUACCACCUGAUGUGCUGGAACUACCCCUUAGCCCGUUUCCCCUGGCAGCUUGUGACUUCAGAGUCCUGCCUGGUUUGAGCCAGACACACCAGCCUGCUGCAAACCCAGACCCUGGUCUGAACCACGUCCCCCAAACGCUGCUGGCUUAACUGAAACCAGCUUAAGAAGUGUUCCUGUCUCCAGCACUCAAAUACCCAACUCCCAAUGGGAUCCAAACCCCAAAUAAAUCCAUUUUACCCCAUAUAAAGCUUAUACAGGGUAAAUUCAUAAAUUGUUCACCCUCUAUAACACUGAUAGAGAGAGAUGCACAGCUGUUUGCCCCUCCUCCCCCCAGUAUUAAUACAUACUCUGGGUUAAUUAAUAAGUAAAAAGUGAUUUUAUUAAAUACAAAAAGUAGGAUUUAAGUGGUUCCAAAAGUAACAGACAGAACAAAGUGAAUUACCAAACAAAAUAAAAUAAAACACGCAAGUCUAUGCCUAAUACAGUAGAAAAGCUGAAUACAGAUAAAAUCUCACCCUCAGAGAUGUUUCAAUAAGCAUCUAUCACAGACUGGACGCCUUCCUAGUCUGGGCACAAUUCUUUCCCCUGGUACAGCCUUUGUUCCAGCUCAGAUGAUAACUAGGGGAUUUCUCAUGCCUGCAGCCUCUUUUGUUCUGUUCCACCACCUUAUAUAGCUUUGGCACAAGGCGGGACUCUUUUGUGUCUCUGGGUUCCCCCUCCCCCCUCUUCUAAAUGGAAAAGUACCAGGUUAAAGAUGGAUUCCAAUUCAGGUGACACGAUCACAUGUCACUGUAAGACCUCAAGCCCUCAUUCCUCCCAGGCUGACUCACAGGAAGGCCUGCCUGCAAACAGAGCCAUCCACAGUCAAUUGUCCUGGAUGAUGGGAGCCAUCAAGAUUCCAAACCACCAUUAAUGGCCCACACAUUGCAUAACUACAAUAGGACCUCAGAGUUGUAUUUCAUAUUUCUAGUUUCAGGUACAAGAGUGAUACAUUUAUACAAAUAGGAUGACCACGCUCAGUAGAUUAUAAGCUUUGUAAUGAUACCUUACAAGAGACCUUUUCCAUGAAGCAUAUUCCAGUUACAUUAUAUUCAUUAGCAUAUUUUCAUAAAAUCAUAUAGCGUGCAAUGUCACAGCUGUAGUAUCAGAGCACCUCUCAAAUACUAACAGAGGGCGCCCAGGGAAUUGGUGACAGUACUAGGAUUUGAUCCCAGAUCUCUUGAAUCCACAUCCAAUGCCACAACCACACAGCCAUUGUUCCUCCCUUGGCUUUCUGGGGCUCUCAGCUCUAAUUGUGCUCUAAUUCCUUGUGAUGAUUUUUUAAGGUGCACAACAUUUUUCAUGUAAGUUGAGCAACUCAAUUUUACUGGCUAAAACCUUGUAGGUCAUAUAGCUUUCAACGCUCAUUCAUUUGGCCUCUUCCAACUCUUACCUGUUCUGGCACUGAAGAGGUGUGUUGGGAAGUAAAAGCAGCUUAGAUACAGUGGUGGUGAGUGCAGUAUAAAUAUUUGGAUGGAUAGAUAGGAGGGCAGUUGAAGAAAGCUGUCUGGCCGUAUCCGACUGGGGGAGUGUAAUAUAAUGUGAAACCAGUGAAACUUGUACUGGAAAAAGUGAAUGGCGGAAGAUGCGUGGUCUAGUCUGCCGUGCACAGAUAAAGCUGAUCCUGUUUUAGGUCUUAAGGCCAGUUUUGUGCAAAAGUCAGCCAUAGCUAAACCAUGACCGCAUCGUAACAAUGAAGAAACAGUUGGAUGUACAUAGUGUGCAGUAAGCUGGAGAAGGAGAAAAUGUCGUACCAGAGUUGAAUUAUAUCAUAAUUGAAUAACGAUGUUACAGCUGAACAUUUGCCACGGAUGGCAGCUUCUCAGCUUCCGGAGGGGGAAAAGGGAAGCUUUUGUACUUUAGAUGAUUUGUGUUUAUCUUUGUAAGGAGGAAAAGGCAACCAAGGCAGCUAUUCUGCUGUUUGGUUCUUUCCCUUUACUUUCCUGUAACAACUCUUUCAAAAGUCUGUAUUUUUUUUUAGAUGCCAAAAGUCCAGUACAAAUCCAACUGCAAGCCCUCUACGUUUGCAUAUCCUGCCCCUCUGGAGGUACCAAAGGAAAAGGAGAAG